This 537-nucleotide ribosomal RNA is filed under the name Triticum aestivum (bread wheat). RNAcentral describes it as "partial small subunit ribosomal RNA". Lineage: Eukaryota; Viridiplantae; Streptophyta; Magnoliopsida; Poales; Poaceae. The record is from RNAcentral.
AGAUUAACUAAUCUAAAGAAAAACAAAAAAGGAAUUCCAUUGAAUUGUAUUUUUAUUGAUCAAUUAUAAUUGACUUCUAGAACGUAUAAUUGUCUAAAAAGGGCCAAUAUACAUACACUAUUGGACCUUUUGAGUAAGACUGAAGAAGAUCUUUUGAGAAUUGACAGUUUUCAUAUGGAAGAUAGAAAACAUAUAUGGGACACUCUAGAAGAGCAUCUCCCAAUUGAUUUACUUAAGAAUAAACUCUCGUACCAACUAUACCAUGCUCCAUUAAAAAAAACUAUGUUAAAACUGCUUUAUGUUCUUGGAGCGGGUGUUAGCGUUAUGCCUCUCUCUUUAUAUCGUAGACUUGAAUUGAAUAAGUUGACACCUAAUGAAAUAUCUUUGCAAAUGGCCGAUAAAUCAAGUGCUAUACCUGUCGGUAUUUGUGAGGAUGUGCCUAUUGUGGUUGCAAAUGUCACUAUCUUAAUGGACUUUGUUAUUCUUGAUAUUUCCGGGAAGAUAGUAUGUCGAUUAUCCUUGGUAGAGCCUUUUUGA